GACGAACGCUGGCGGCGUGCUUAACACAUGCAAGUCGAACGGAAAGGCCCUGCUUUUGUGGGGUGCUCGUGUGGCGAACGGGUGAGUAACACGUGAGUAACCUGCCCUUGACUUUGGGAUAACUUCAGGAAACUGGGGCUAAUACCGGAUAGGAGCUCCUGCUGCAUUGUGGGGGUUGGAAAUUUUCGGCGGGUGGGGAUGGACCCGCGGCUUAUCAGCUUGUUGGUGGGGUAGUGGCUUACCAAGGCUUUGACGGGUCGCCGGCCUGGGAGGGUGACCGGGCACACUGGGAACGAGGAACGGGCCAGACUCCUACGGGGGGCAACAGGGGGGAAUAAUGCGACAUGGGGGGGAGGCUGAAGGAGCGACGCCGGGGGGGGGAAGACGGCCUUUGGGUUGGAAACCGCUUUCGCCUGUGACGAAGCGUGAGUGACGGUAAUGGGUAAAGAAGCACCGGCUAACUACGUG
This 468-nucleotide ribosomal RNA is filed under the name uncultured bacterium. Its description in RNAcentral is "partial 16S ribosomal RNA". It matches the Rfam family "Bacterial small subunit ribosomal RNA", at positions 28 to 507 of the family's 1533-position model. The record is from RNAcentral.